GGAGUGGGCUAGUCCCCCGGGUUGGUCACCGCUGAACUCUCAGACAAUCAAGCUUUCGAUGAUCAUGUGAUGAGGUUUCCAGUCAGUUCCAGGUGAAGAUAUCGCUGGCCAUCAAGAAGCUACCCUCUCCCCACCAGACAGAGCAGGAUGAGAGUUCUGUAAUCCUCAAUAGGAGGGAGCACUCAACUGAACAAGUGCAGGAACAGGCUGGCUGCUUCAGCACUGACAGAGGCAAAUUCCAUUUGCUUGGACCCACUGCAUUCCAUCCCUUGUGGAAGAGAGCAUGUAAGCAAGACAGGACCUUCAGGCCUCUAAAAAAAGUAUCAAAUAACUGAAACUCACCAGAUCGCCUCACCAGAUGCUGGACCCCUCAUUCACCAUGAUUGCUUCCUUGCCUCUCCCUAGUUCUUAUUUUCUUACACAUUGUUACAUUUCUUCCCUGCUAUGUAAACCCCUAGUUCUAGUCAGUCAUGGAGAUGGAUUUGAGACUGAUCUCCCAUCCCCUCAGCUGCACCACCUGAUUAAAGCCUUCUUCCU
Molecule: long non-coding RNA, 537 nt
Filed under: Pongo abelii (Sumatran orangutan)
Lineage: Eukaryota; Metazoa; Chordata; Mammalia; Primates; Hominidae
Description: lincRNA
Source: RNAcentral